Molecule: long non-coding RNA, 534 nt
Organism: Salarias fasciatus (jewelled blenny)
Lineage: Eukaryota; Metazoa; Chordata; Actinopteri; Blenniiformes; Blenniidae
Exons: 4
Source: RefSeq, a predicted model, not a curated record
GAAAAGAUUCCGGUCUCCGCAAGACCCAAUUUAGCCUGAAAAUGACACAAACGCGGCUCAGAGUUGACUAAAAACUCAGCUUUUGGCGGAAUAACUCACCGAGACGAAGUUUCUCUCUAACGCGACAAUGUGGCGGGACGCACUUUAAUCUGUUUGUCUAUAAUUAGGGUUUAAUGUCCACUGUCCCGUUUGACAGGACGUACUGAUGACUGAGGUCUCACCAGGGUGCAACACGCGUUUGUGAGGAUGUGGAGGGCUGCAGUCUGCAGCGUGAGGCAGACCAGGAGAAGGGCCAGACUCUACUCCAGCAGGCCCGAGAACCCUUCCUCCUCCUCCUCCUCCUCCUCCUCCCGGCCCCGUGCUGAGAAACAGAGGCGCAGGCGCGAGCGGGACGAGGCCGUCCUGUCCAGCGGACGCAACGAGGCUGCGGUUAAAGCAGCGAGGUGGAGCGAGAAGCCCAGGACGCCGUACACGGCUCACACUCCGCCCGGGACUAAGAAAGACACCGCCGUGCCGCUGCCGCCGGCCUACAGC